This is a long non-coding RNA of Odontomachus brunneus, 3421 nucleotides long. RefSeq lists it as uncharacterized. Lineage: Eukaryota; Metazoa; Arthropoda; Insecta; Hymenoptera; Formicidae. The transcript is spliced from 3 exons. The record is from RefSeq and is a predicted model, not a curated record.
CGCGCGCGCGCGCACGUGUAGAUUUGAGCAUUCGUCGCUUAAAUAGGACACGACUAUUUCCUGCUAACAUAGUUACACAAAGGUAACAGUACAAAUCGGUUGGUGAAGUCUCAGGUCGCUCCUCUAAUGAACAAGUCUCCUGAAGAGCUAAACUGUUUUUCUGCAACUAGUACGAUCAAUGUGCCAACAUCGUUCUACGCCGCGCAGGUAGAAGGACAAGCGUCAUAUAUCGGACUACACGAUCUGUCAUCGCGAUUGCACGGAGCAACAGAUUCCCCGGUCAAUUCGAGGCUGAUUUCGCUCUUCUUCACGAUAAUUGGUUCUUGGUCAGCAAUUGAAGUUGCCCUUCGUCGAAGUGUCACGAAGAGCCGCAGAAGGACAGACCGGUUAUUUUAGCUCCGUACAAUAUCGGGGGAAUGAUACGCCGCGGCGAGAGAGGCGUGCACGGAGCGCGUUGGCUCUAUUCGCAUGCACGUCGUAUCUUCGUGGUGCGCGAUAUGAACGAGCCGAGGAUCCGGCGGAAUAAAAAUCGCGUUAAGAAGGCGGAGGCGGAGGCUUUAGAGGUCUCGUCACGACGUCGUCGUCGUUGGGAAAUAGGCUUACGGCGAUGCGGAAGCGCGCCGAGAAUUCUCGCGGCUUGUUUCCGAGCUCGCGAAAUGAAUGAGAUGGUGUGCGACGGACAAUCAACGGGAACUUAUUUUGGCUAAUAAUUAAUGUUCUUCCAGCGUCUCUUAAUGACCAUGAAUCGAAAUUUUCCCCGGGUCGAAAUUUUAGCCCCUUACGACCUGAAUUUUCUGAAGGAUCACCGUGUGUUUAUGAUAGUCGUAUCAUGAAACGCGUUUCGCGCGAAAAUCCGGUGAAAUCUGCACUAUACACACAAUAAAAUAAAAUAAAAUGAAAGAUUCUAUUUUUUCUAUUUUUUUUCUAUUUUUUUUUAAAUAAGAAAAAAUGAGAAAAUAUGCAAGUGAAUGAGAAAGAAUGAGAGAGAAUGAGGAAAGAUAGUAGAAAAUUAAAGUAUUGUAACUAAAACAGUAUGAGAAUGAGGGAGAGAGAAUCUGGAAGAAUAAGAGAGAAGAAUGAAUGAGAAUGAGAGAGUAUUAAGAAGAAUAUAUAAAUAUUAAUAUAAUUAUUAAUUAUAAGUAUAUUUUAAAUUUAUUUUAUUUUUAUUUUUUAUUGUUUUUUAUUAGCUAAAUAGCGCGUGCGCCUGUAUUGUUCUAGUUGCAACUAAAAUUUACACGUUUUAUUAGUGUUCUUUGAGGCUAGUGUGCUAUUCUUGAUUUCUACUUCGAGUUCGUUUACUUUAGCUUGCGGAAAACGAAACUGCCCUCGACGAUAGUCAAUCUCCUUCAGUGACAAGGAAAGAUUUACGAGCUCUGACCGGGUAUUAAGCGAUCGGCCGAAAAUAGAGAAAGUCGCGAGAAAGCGACGUAGUCUAUAAUCUGGUGAGUCUUCAUUAUACAUGAGUCUCAAAUAUUAUGGAGAGUUUUACAUAAUUGCAGCGAUUGCAGUAACAUAGUUGCAGCGGUGCAGUCUCAAAUGUCGCGUUGUUUCUUUUUUCUUUUAUAUGGAGCACAUAUAUCUAAGCGGAGGAGAUAUUGUAGCAAAAGUUGCAACAAAAUUUUUGUAAUCUUGGAUACAUAAUCUUAUACAGAGUUAGAAUUAUUAUAUAUUUGAUUAAAAAUAUUGUACAUUUGACUUCUCUUGACUUUUUAUACUGAAUUGCUUGAAUGUUCUUUUUUUAUUGUAUACCAGAUAGAUCAAUAGAUAGACAGAUAGAUAGAUUUUUCAAUGUAUACCAGAAAUUUGUCAUUUCUGUAAUAAUUUAUAGCACAAUGUCGAUACUGCUCAGCUUUUCGAAAACAUCGUAACAUUAAGGGAAACGUAAAAAGAAACAUAACUUUAACGUAAUUUUUACCACAAUAUUUUCUCCGUGCAGAGUACGUUUGUGCUGGCUAUUUUCACACACAUAUACACGCAGUUCUUUUAAAAAAAGAUUAAUAUCAAAUUGUAUAAUAAUUUCGAAUUCUUCAGAUAAAAAUGAAACGACUACUUUUAAGCUGUUAUAAUUUUACGAAAUAAUGCAGGCGCCAUUUUAUUCAUGAUGCACUUCGCAGAAUUAUAACGACAUAAAAAUGCAAUCGUUUCACAAUGCCUGAAAAACCCGCAAUUAUCGCACAACAUAAUGCUUCGCCGAGAUAUUAAUUUUUUUGCGUCACAUCGCUUCGCGCAGUCGUGAUAUUUUUUUUCUACUUUAAGCGACGGCUGUUUCGUGACGAACGCUUACAAGGGCUAAAUCGGCCGGACGAUAAGGACGAAUGAAAUUUUGAUUUUUUCACGAGAUUGUUCAGCACGGAGGGAGAAACGCUAGCCAGGGGGAAGUGUUGGGUGUUCGGUUGCGGCGGCGGCGGUGUAUCGCGUAACGCGAGAAUAAUUAAUUCACAAAUGUAGAGUGGAGAUCGGAGAGGUACGAAACUUUUACUUCCAUCGGGUUCGUCGACCCUUUCGCGCACGGUGCGCACAGGCUAAUCCCGUCGGUUGGGAAAACGCGCGUAGGACGACCGAGCGACCAACCGACCGACCGACCGACCGACCGUACGGUUAAAUCGUCGAAAUAAUGGCGCGCGCAUCGAGCGUAUAUUAAAUCGAAACGCGCGACGGCCCACGAGAAGCCAGCCACGGGGAAAGCCGGCCUUUAAAUCCCGCCGCGCAAUAGCCCGUACUUUCCAGCCAUUUUGUCUAACUGUAUCGGGAUUAUUACGUGUGUGUGCGCGCGCGCGCGAUAAUAUCGGCGGAAGAAAAAAGGAAAAGAGAGGAAAAGAGAAGCUAUACAAACGAGGUCGAUCUCGGCGCAGAAAUACGUUUUAUACAAGCUGCUUAUACAUUUUUUAAUAAACCGCUCCUCUUGGGAAGAAGUCAUUCCGAAGGCUCGUAUCGCGUUUGUAUCUCUUCUCGGGAUUCUCCGUGCGCGACUUCAGUUAACUCGACGCCUCGCCAACACGCUGACGCCGCGAUCGAUGUGUGACUCCUCGCGACGUAAUUACACGAGAAAAGCAACUACGCCGGUGUAACUGAAUUUCCCGUUGCUUAGGAAGAAUUGGGAUCAGAUGAGAAAUUCGAUUGCGCACUGAGAGAAAAAGUGUACACAAAAUAACAGAUAUUUGAUCGAGAUAGGUAGUGAUGACACACUUAAUCAAAUCUUAAUCCGUCGGUGUGUAUAAUUGAAUGUUCAAAAAUACACAAAGAGUAUUAAAAAUAUUUAUAUAAAUGUUAUAUAAAUAACAUUAACAUGUUAUUUACUAAUAAUGUAUUUACUUACAUGUUAUUUACUAAUAAUCUAUUUACUAACAAAUUUUAUUAAGAAAAAAUAUAUAUACUAAAUAAGAUAUUUUUAUAUUUAAAAUAGUUUUUAUUUGAAAAUUAA